This 74-nucleotide transfer RNA is filed under the name Candidatus Delongbacteria bacterium. Its description in RNAcentral is "tRNA-Gln". It matches the Rfam family "tRNA". From Rfam's summary of the family: Transfer RNA (tRNA) molecules are approximately 80 nucleotides in length. The record is from RNAcentral. Lineage: Bacteria; Candidatus Delongiibacteriota.
AGGGGUAUCGCCAAGCGGUAAGGCACCGGGUUUUGAUCCCGCAUCCGGAGGUUCGAAUCCUUCUACCCCUGCAA